Molecule: unclassified non-coding RNA, 1299 nt
Filed under: uncultured fungus
Lineage: Eukaryota; Fungi
Description: sequence contains 18S rRNA gene, ITS1, 5.8S rRNA gene, ITS2, 28S rRNA gene
Rfam family: Eukaryotic large subunit ribosomal RNA (bases 381-1299)
Source: RNAcentral
GGAUGGAUCAUUCAUGAUACACCAAUCAAAAUUCGAACUACUUCAACUUAUCAAAGUAUUCAAUUCAAUACUCAACAAUUCUUAACGAUGGAUGACUCGACUCUUGUAACGAGGAAGGACGCAGCAAACCGCGAUAAGCAGUAUGAUGUGCGAAUACUCGUGAAUCACUAGAUUUCUGAACGCAAUUGUACUCGAAAUUUCGGUUUCGAGUAUACUUGUUUCGGUCUCAUUUAGAUUUGGUAUCGACUUGGGACAAUCCUUUGUCAAUGCUGUCACGGAUCUUCUCUUAGCGUUGAUCGACACUGAUAGAUUCGCAAUUCAAUUUCGGCGGUGGAACCAUAAGAUUUUGAUGCACGAUUCUACACUAUCCUAAUUCUUAUUGAGCCGAAAUCAAGUAAGGUUACCCGCUGAAUUUAAGCAUAUUAUUAAGCGGAGGAAAAGAAACCAACUGGGAUUUCCUGAUUAGCGGCGAGCGAAAAGGAAAUAGCUCGAGAUGUUAAUCGAAGUCUUUCUGAGGCUUCGAGUUGUACAUCAUGGCUCUCACUAGAUGUUGUUUGCGUUCAAGGUACUUGGAAAAGUACGCCACAGAAGGUGAUAGCCCUGUCUUACGCUAUACAAUGUCGAACGGUGAGGGUCGCAUGAGUCACGCUCUUUGGGAGUAGAGCGCAAAUAGGGUGGUAACCUCCAUCCAAGGCUGAAUACUGACAAGAGAUCGAUAGCGAACAAGUACCCUGAGGGAAAGUUGAAAAGCACUUCGAAAGGAGAGUUAAAAGACCUGAAAUCGUUAAGGAGGAAGCGAGUGGCCGUGACCCAAGCAAUUUUUUGGACCCAUUCGAUACGUUGAAGUUUUUACUUGGGCUAAAAUCCUUGUAUGGCAGAGACACUUAGAUUGGAAUUCAAGGCUUUGCUGUUUGACAUCAUUUGGCAUGGCAAUACGAGUUUACUCUUUGCCGAGCCGAAUGAGGCAUACCUUAUAAGCUAGAUGUCAAAAGUGGCACGUCUACACGACCCGUCUUGAAACACGGACCAAGGAGUUAAACCAAUGUGCGAGUGUAAGGGUGUGAAACCUGUACGCGCAGUGAAAGCAAAAGCUGUGAAUAUCAAUGCAACAGCGGCCGGCUAUAAGUUUGAGCUUGAGCAUAUUUGUUUAGACCCGAAAGAUGGUGAUCUAUACCUGAGUUGGGUGAAGCCAGGGGAAACCCUGGUGGAAGCUCGUAGCGAUACUGACGUGCAACUCGUUCGUCAAACUUGGGCAUAGGGGCGAAAGACUAAUCGAACCAUCUAGUAGCUGGUUCCCUC